GUAUUUUGAAUUAAGUUAUUCAUAAUAUUUUUCAGACAAAAUCACUAAAGUUCUGAGUAGAUAUAAAUCCCAAAGGUGACCAAACGGAUUUUUACAGCCGCUGACCUCCAGUGAGAUGACAUUGCACACAAGGUGGAUAUGGAUUUUUGAAAGUGCCAUAAAAACACUUGAUUAUGAAUGAUCCUUCCGCAGGUUCACCUACGGAAA
This 207-nucleotide unclassified non-coding RNA is filed under the name uncultured fungus. Its description in RNAcentral is "sequence contains ITS1, 5.8S rRNA gene". The record is from RNAcentral. Lineage: Eukaryota; Fungi.